Long non-coding RNA from Homo sapiens (human), 1394 nucleotides. Ensembl annotates it as small nucleolar RNA host gene 5. Its record names the gene SNHG5. The record is from Ensembl. NCBI's taxonomy places the organism in Eukaryota, Metazoa, Chordata, Mammalia, Primates, Hominidae.
GCUGCGCACUUCGGUCUUUUACGUCGGCCUUCGCGAGCGUCUGGGCGGGUGGUAGGAACAAUGGCGCUGUCUUCAGUGGCACAGUGGAGCAGCUCUGAAGAUGCAAAGAUACACGAAAAAACUUCCAGAACAUCUGGGAGAAUAUUUAAUGGAAAAUCGCUUGGUUAAAACCUGACACUUUUAACAGUGAGGGUCGCUGUCUGCCCAUUGAUAGAGGCCAGAUUGUCUUGGAAGUUCCAAAGUUGCAACGAUUUCUUUAGUUGAAUCCAUGGACAUGAAACCCACAGAUAUAGAGGGUUGGCCCGGUGCAGUGGCUCACGCCUGUAAUCCCAGCACUUUGGGAGGCCAAGGCGGGUGGAUCACCUGAGGUCAGAAGCUUGAGACCAGCCUGGCCAACAUGGUAAAACCCCAUCUCUACUAAUAAUACAAAACAAUUUGCUGGGCAUGGUGGUGCACGCUUGUAAUCCAAGCUACUCCAGAGGCUGAGGCAGAAGAAUCGCUUGAAUCCGAGAGGCAAAGGUUGCAGUGAGCCCAGAUCACACCACUGCUCUCCAACCUGGGCAACAAGAGCAAAACUCCGUCAAAAAAAAAAGAUACAGGGUCAACUGUACACAUUAAACACUUCUAUCAACUAGUGAUGUCAGUCUUGUCCAUUGUAUUAUUGCCUAUCUUACUAAACAGUCAUAUUUCAGGAAGUACAAUAUACUCAAAAACUAAGUUAAUGUUCUUUGUAGAUUUAUGGUUAAUGGAUGAUUCAUAUAAUAGAAACUUAAAUUUAUUUGACCAUUCUAUUUAAUAUAGAAUAAAUACAACUAGCCAGGCAUGGUGGCUCAUGUCUAUAAUGCCAGCACUUGGGGAGGCCAAGGUGGGAGGCUCACUUGAGCAUAGGAAUUCAAGGCCAGCCUGGGCAACACAAUGUGAGACCCGUCUCUAUGAAAAUUUUAAAAAUUAGCCAAGCAUGGUAACACAAGUCUGUGGUCCCAGCUACUUGGGAGGCUGAGGCGCGAGAAGUCCAGGAGGUCAACGCUGCAGUGAGCUGUGUGUGUGCCACUGCAUCCUAGCCUGGGCAACAGAGCAAGACCCUGUCUCAAAAAUAAAGAAUAAAUACAACCUAUUAAGCUUGAGAGAUCCAGUGAAAUCCAAAUAAGAGAAACUGUGUCCUACACAGUUUUCUGUUAACCAUUUUCUUGGUAUUUAAAUUAUUUAUCAAAUUUUAACUUCAAUAAAAAAUUAUUCUGGAGAACACAUACCUCUAGAGUAAGUAAAGUAUACACUUUCAAUUUUUAGACAUGAGGUUUUGAGGUGUUUGACUGUAUCUAAUUUCCUAAAGGCUCUAUUUUUUAACCUACAAAAAUUAUAAAAAGAUAUAUAAAAGAUAUGAAAUGUAAAAAUAA